ACCGCAAAACAAGCAGAGGGGGCUUAGUGGUGGGGUGACUGCGUACCUUUUGUAUAAUGGGUCAGCGACUUAUAUUCUGUAGCAAGGUUAACCGAAUAGGGGAGCCGGAGGGAAACCGAGUCUUAAUUGGGCGUUAAGUUGCAGGGUAUAGACCCGAAACCCGGUGAUCUAGCCAUGGGCAGGUUGAAGGUUGGGUAACACUAACUGGAGGACCGAACCGACUAAUGUUGAAAAAUUAGCGGAUGACCUGUGGCUGGGGGUGAAAGGCCAAUCAAACCGGGAGAUAGCUGGUUCUCCCCGAAAGCUAUUUAGGUAGCGCCUCGUGAAUUCAUCUCCGGGGGUAGAGCACUGUUUCGGCUAGGGGGCCAUCCCGGCUUACCAACCCGAUGCAAACUGCGAAUACCGGAGAAUGUUAUCACGGGAGACACACGGCGGGUGCUAACGUCCGUCGUGAAGAGGGAAACAACCCAGACCGCCAGCUAAGGUCCCAAAGUCAUGGUUAAGUGGGAAACGAUGUGGGAAGGCCCAGACAGCCAGGAUGUUGGCUUAGAAGCAGCCAUCAUUUAAAGAAAGCGUAAUAGCUCACUGGUCGAGUCGGCCUGCGCGGAAGAUGUAACGGGGCUAAACCAUGCACCGAAGCUGCGGCAGCGAACGUAUCACCCAAGACAACUUUACGGAGUUGACGAUUGACGGAGCGAAGCGACGUCAAAGCGUUCAUUAAAGUCGAGUUGGCUUAGGGAUACGUUCGUUGGGUAGGGGAGCGUUCUGUAAGCCUGUGAAGGUGUGUCGUGAGGCAUGCUGGAGGUAUCAGAAGUGCGAAUGCUGACAUAAGUAACGAUAAAGCGGGUGAAAAGCCCGCUCGCCGGAAGACCAAGGGUUCCUGUCCAACGUUAAUCGGGGCAGGGUGAGUCGACCCCUAAGGCGAGGCCGAAAGGCGUAGUCGAUGGGAAACGGGUUAAUAUUCCCGUACUUGGUGUUACUGCGAAGGGGGGACGGAGAAGGCUAUGUUGGCCGGGCGACGGUUGUCCCGGUUUAAGCGUGUAGGUGUGUGUUCCAGGUAAAUCCGGUU
This 1069-nucleotide ribosomal RNA is filed under the name Salmonella enterica subsp. enterica serovar Typhimurium. RNAcentral describes it as "partial 23S ribosomal RNA". It matches the Rfam family "Bacterial large subunit ribosomal RNA", at positions 566 to 1547 of the family's 2925-position model. The record is from RNAcentral. Lineage: Bacteria; Pseudomonadati; Pseudomonadota; Gammaproteobacteria; Enterobacterales; Enterobacteriaceae.